RNAcentral lists this ribosomal RNA (469 nucleotides) under uncultured bacterium. Its description in RNAcentral is "bacterial SSU rRNA". It matches the Rfam family "Bacterial small subunit ribosomal RNA", at positions 29 to 507 of the family's 1533-position model. The record is from RNAcentral.
AAUGAACGUUGGCGGCGUGGAUUAGGCAUGCAAGUCGCGCGAGAAAUUUCCUUCGGGAAAUGGACAGCGGCGGAAGGGAGAGGAAUAAGUAGAAAUCUGCCCUCGGGACGGGGAUAGCGGUGGGAAACUGCCGGUAAUACCCGAUAACAUCUUUGGAUCAAAUGGUGUGAUUCCGCCUGAGGAUGAGUCUACUUCCUAUUAGCUAGUUGGUGGGGUAAUGGCCUACCAAGGCAACGAUGGGUAGCGGGUGUGAGAGCACGACCCGCCUCACUGGGACUGAGACACUGCCCAGACACCUACGGGUGGCUGCAGUCGAGAAUCUUCGGCAAUGGGGGAAACCCUGACCGAGCGACGCCGCGUGCGGGAUGAAGGCCCUUGGGUUGUAAACCGCUGUCGUAAGGGAACAAAUCCAUAGGGGUACUCCCCUAUGGUUGAGUGAUCUUAGGAGGAAGGACGGGCUAAGUUCGUG